Molecule: ribosomal RNA, 484 nt
Filed under: uncultured bacterium
Lineage: Bacteria
Description: partial 16S ribosomal RNA
Rfam family: Bacterial small subunit ribosomal RNA
Source: RNAcentral
GACGAACGCUGGCGGCGUGCUUAACACAUGCAAGUCGAACGAUGAAGCCGGAGCUUGCUCUGGUGAAUUAGUGGCGAACGGGUGAGUAACACGUGAGUAACCUGCCCUUGACUCUGGGAUAACUGCUAGAAAUGGUAGCUAAUACCGGAUACGACCCUCGGAGGCAUCUCCAGGGGGUGGAAAGAAUUUCGGUCGAGGAUGGACUCGCGGCCUAUCAGCUAGUUGGUGAGGUAAAGGCUCACCAAGGCGACGACGGGGAGCCGGCCUGAGAGGGUGACCGGCCACCCUGGGACUGAGACACGGCCCAGACUCCUACGGGGGGCAGCAGUGGGGAAUAUUGCACAAUGGGCGCAAGCCUGAUGCAGCAACGCCGCGUGAGGGAUGACGGCCUUCGGGUUGUAAACCUCUUUUAGCAGGGAAGAAGCGAAAGUGACGGUACCUGCAGAAAAAGCACCGGCUAACUACGUGCCAGCAGCCGCCGUAA